Molecule: long non-coding RNA, 760 nt
Filed under: Calidris pugnax (ruff)
Lineage: Eukaryota; Metazoa; Chordata; Aves; Charadriiformes; Scolopacidae
Description: lncRNA (ENSCPUG00000012540.1)
Source: RNAcentral
GUGACAGGAUAAACUUCAAAGUUUGUAACUUACAUCUUUCUCCCUUCUUGCUAUGUUUUUUUAAUAUGCAUCUGUUUUUACAGGUAAUGGAGGCCCUAUGCACAAGGUGGAAUACAAUUACUGCCCUACUAGAAAGCAGGAAGAAUGGAUGUAACGGCCAGGAUGACUCCUAGAAAAAAACCAAACCCAAACCAAACAAUAAAAACCUGUUUUGAUACAUGAUUCAAGAAGUUUGACUGAAAACAAGCCAUUUCUGCAGAUACUAUAUGUUACUGGAAGGUAGAAGUAAAAUCCAUAUAUUUUUCACUGGGAAACUAUUUAAAGAUUAUUCUUGAUGUCCCAUUUUUUAUUACUUUUUUUCUCAAGGAAAUAGAACAGCAUUCAACUUACUGGCAGAAUAAGCAACUGUAGUAUUGCUUUAUAAAAUCCAACUGCAGUAACUCUGCAUAGCUGGACAUUCAUAUACCUGACCAGCUUGAUUCAUCUUUUCAACAGAGCAUUUUUACAAUAUGGAAACAAAAACAAUAAUGCAAUGAAAAGAAGAGACAGAAUUAGAGUCAGUGGAAAGCCAUUUCAGCACAUGCUACAAUAUUUUACCUUUGUUCUCCAGUCUGGAUUUAAUAUUAUGUGUAGAAGCAGCACUAUGCAAAACCAGGCUGGAUAUCUAGAGCCUGCCGUUCCUGAGGGAGUCCCAGAGACCUACUUGAUGAUGGGAGUGUUUCACAGCUUUUGGCACACUUCUUUCCUGUAUAUUUCUUGA